This is a long non-coding RNA of Chenopodium quinoa (quinoa), 1992 nucleotides long. RefSeq lists it as uncharacterized. The record is from RefSeq and is a predicted model, not a curated record. Lineage: Eukaryota; Viridiplantae; Streptophyta; Magnoliopsida; Caryophyllales; Amaranthaceae. The transcript is spliced from 2 exons.
UGCAGCAAAUGAAGAGAUAAGCAUCAGAUUCUGCAUAUACAUAAAUGUGAUCACAAACACAGCUUCAGAAGGGCUUAAGAGAAUGAUUUAAUUUUUUCUUUCCUUAGGUCUCUUUUUGUACAUGGGUGGAACCCCCUUUGUAUCUUUCUAAUUUACUCCCUCCGUCCCCUUUUGAUAAUCCCUUAUGAACAAAUUUUAGUCCCAAAAUGUUCACCCCAUUUGCUUUUUCCAACAACCAUUAAUAUUAAUUUUUUACCAAAAUUCCAUCCAAUUAAAAACAAUAGUUGUGCAAAUUUAAAUUUUCCAUGUAAAUUUUGCUUUCCCAUGUACUUUUAUUACUUUUUCUCUCUACUUUUUUGCAUACCCAAUGUCAAUUUACUUUUUCAAUGUAUUUUAACUAUUCUUGUUUGUGUUUAUUAAUUCUCGUGAAAAAUGCCCAUAAGGGACUAUCAAAAGGGGACGGAGGGAGUAUAUCUUUAUUUCUAAAUCAACAACCAAAAAAGUGUUACAUAAACUAUGAGAUAAGGCUCUUGUAGACUACUGCAGAAGCAAAUAAUUACGCCUACAUCUUGUUUUGAGAAUGAAAGCCUUGAAUUUUAUUGGAACCUUUAGCUCCCAAACAUUCAGUGAUUUUACGUUUUUUCAUAAGGACUUGAAAGCAAAAAUACAAAAUGUGACCUGAUGAUUGAGCAAGCCAAAUUCUUUGAUCAAGAUGACCAAAGAAAACAUAAAAUCUUCGAAUCUUUAUAGGCAAGACACAUCACCCAAUUUCCUUACGUAUAAAUUUUCAUAGAAAAUGAAGAAUCCAAAACAAAUGUAGACCUGUAAAGAUCAGUUACAGAUAAAUUUUUCCAGGACAGUAGGCAGCAAAUUUCAACAAGUGCAUGGACAUUCUUGGACACCACAUUCCCUACGAAUAAACUCAAACCUCCCAACCCUUUUUCCCUUGACCAAUUGAUUAGAUCUCAAAUUACAAGAUGAUCCCUUUUCUUAAGUGUUAGAAUCCACCUGAUCUACCUUAUGCAUACUAAGGCCAAAGGGGGACCUUCCACCGAAGUCAUUUGGGGCCCGGCCUCUGGUACAUUAUUGCAAUUAAUUAGCUAUUGAACUUAAUGAUGUUCUUUUAUUUAUAAAAAUUUGGAAUAUAGUGAUUAGUUUUGAGCAACUGGUAAAAUAUUCAUUCCCGGUCCCUAGGGGUGAAAGUAGUUUGGAUAAAAACCGAAAACCGAUCCAAACCAAACCGAACUAGAAAUUCGGUUCGGUUUUUUCAGUUUUCGGUUUGGAUUCGGUUCCAAAAUCCUGAAACCGAAUUAUUUCGGUUUGGAUUCGGUUCUGGGUCCUAAAAAACCGAAAACCGAAAUCCAAACCGAAAUGUUUAAAGCCCAUAUAGAUUCCAGCCCAAUUCCCCUACAUAUAUAUAGCAAACCCUAAUUUUCUCCUUCAUUUUUCUGACUUUCGGCCACCUUCACUCCUCAAUUCCUCUACUUCCUCACCAAAACCCUUCAUUUCCUUCACUCCGACCACUGUAUCUCACCACCGUAUCUCACUCCGGCCACCGUAUAUUGUCUCCUUGGUCGAAUAUCAGUUCCUUUCUUCAUAUCUGGUGUUCGUAGACUUCGUACUCCCUCAAUCCGCGACGCGCCACCACCUUCUGUCGCCACCACCUCUCUCAGUCACUCAAAGACUUGAAGAAUAUGAAAAUUACUGAUCCAAUCAACCCAAACUUGGUUGAGCUUGAUUGAAUGCAUGAAGAGUACGCUGCCAAGAAGAAGAAGCUAAUGCCAGAUUUGAAUCAAGCUGCUGCCAAUCUGCCAUACUGUCAUUUUAUGUUUAAGAUUACUGUUGUGUUUGACUGUCUGUAAUUUUUAUUUUGGCUGGACAAACUUAAGUGUUGUAAUUCGUGACAUUAAUUGUGGUGGUGGAAGCUUUGUCUAAAAAUUUAUGUUUUGUUCAGGAACAGGUACAAAAAUUAGGUCUUUAAAAGGCCCAAAA